GUAGGCGGUUUAAUAAGUGAAUAGUGAAACCUGGUGGCUCAACCAUACAGACUAUUAUUCAAACUGUUAAACUCGAGAAUGGUAGAGGUAACNUGGAAUUUCUAGUGCAGGAGUGAAAUCCGUAGAUAUUAGAAGGAACACCGAUGGCGUAGGCAGGUUACUGGGCCAUUUCUGACGCUAAGGCACGAAAGCGUGGGGAGCGAACCGGAUUAGAUACCCGGGUAGUCCACGCCGUAAACGAUGGAUACUAGCUGUUGGAGGUAUCGACCCCUUCAGUAGCGAAGCUAACGCGUUAAGUAUCCCGCCUGUGGAGUACGGCCGCAAGGCUAAAACAUAAAGGAAUUGACGGGGACCCGCACAAGCGGUGGAUCAUGUUCUUUAAUUCGAUGAUAACCGAUAAACCUUACCAGGUCUUGACAUCCUUGGAAUCUUUCAGAAAUGAGAGAGUGCUUUUUAAGAGCCAAGUGACAGGUGAUGCAUGGCCGUCGUCAGCUCGUGUCGUGAGAUGUUUGGUUAAGUCCAUCAACGAGCGCAACCCUUGUCAGUAGUUGUAUUUUUCUACUGGGACUGCCCCGGUAACGGGGAGGAAGGAGGGGAUGACGUCAGGUCAGUAUUUCCCUUACGUCCUGGGCUAGAAACGUGAUACAAUGGCUAGUACAAUGCGCAGCGAANCCGCGAGGUGAAGCAAAUCGCAUCAAAGCUAGUCCCAGUUCGGAU
Molecule: ribosomal RNA, 717 nt
Filed under: uncultured Candidatus Saccharibacteria bacterium
Lineage: Bacteria; Candidatus Saccharimonadota
Description: bacterial SSU rRNA
Rfam family: Bacterial small subunit ribosomal RNA
Source: RNAcentral